UGCCAGCAGCCGCGGUAAUACGUAGGGUGCGAGCGUUGUCCGGAUUUAUUGGGCGUAAAGGGCUCGUAGGCGGUUUGUCGCGUCGGAAGUGAAAGCCCACUGCUUAACGGUGGGUCUGCUUUCGGUACGGGCAGACUGGAGUGUGGCAGGGGAGACUGGAAUUCCUGGUGUAGCGGUGGAAUGCGCAGAUAUCAGGAGGAACACCGGUGGCGAAGGCGGGUCUCUGGGCCAUUACUGACGCUGAGGAGCGAAAGCGUGGGGAGCGAACAGGAUUAGAUACCCUGGUAGUCCACGCUGUAAACGUUGGGCGCUAGGUGUGGGGACUGUUUCCACGGUUUCCGUGCCGUAGCUAACGCAUUAAGCGCCCCGCCUGGGGAGUACGGCCGCAAGGCUAAAACUCAAAGGAAUUGACGGGGGCCCGCACAAGA
This 428-nucleotide ribosomal RNA is filed under the name uncultured bacterium. RNAcentral's name for it is "bacterial SSU rRNA". It matches the Rfam family "Bacterial small subunit ribosomal RNA", at positions 506 to 930 of the family's 1533-position model. The record is from RNAcentral.